This 438-nucleotide ribosomal RNA is filed under the name Choeras sp. 2 SY-2020. RNAcentral's name for it is "partial large subunit ribosomal RNA". The stretch from base 1 to 164 matches the Rfam family "Bacterial large subunit ribosomal RNA", at positions 1796 to 2021 of the family's 2925-position model. The record is from RNAcentral. Lineage: Eukaryota; Metazoa; Arthropoda; Insecta; Hymenoptera; Braconidae.
UCACCUGUUUUUCAAAAACAUGUCUUAAAGAAAAUAAUUUUAAGUCUAAUCUGCUCAAUGAAUUAUUAAAUAGCUGCAGUAUAAAUAACUGUGCUAAGGUAGCAUAAUAAUUUGUUUUUUAAUUAAAAACUCGUAUGAAUGAUUUAAUGAAGUAUAAACUGUCUUAAAAUUAUUUUUUAAACUUUUUCUUUAAGUAAAAAAAUUUAAAUUUUUAUUAAAGACGAGAAGACCCUAAAGAAUUUUUAUUAAUUAAAUUUUUUAAAUUAAAUUUAUUUAAUUUUAAUUGGGGAUAUUUUAAAAUUUAAUAAAUUUUUAAUUAAAUUAAACAUAAAUUUUUGUAUUUAAUAUAAUUUUUUUUAAAAAAAAAAUAAAUUACCUUAGGGAUAACAGCAUAAUUUUUUUUUUAAGUUCAAAUUUAUAAAAAAGUUUAUGACCUCG